This 381-nucleotide ribosomal RNA is filed under the name uncultured euryarchaeote. RNAcentral's name for it is "bacterial SSU rRNA". It matches the Rfam family "Archaeal small subunit ribosomal RNA", at positions 471 to 851 of the family's 1478-position model. The record is from RNAcentral. Lineage: Archaea; Methanobacteriati; Methanobacteriota.
UAACACCGGAGCCACGAGUGGCAAUCGCGUUUAUUGGGUUUAAAGCGUCCGUAGCCGAUUUAAUAACUCUUUUGUGAAAUUGCUUGACUCAAUCAAGCAGAUUGCAAGAGAAACUGUUAAGUUAGGGACCGGUAAGAGACAGAGGUAUUCUUUGGGAAGCGGUAAAAUGUUUUAAUCCUUAGAGGACCACCGAUGGCGAAGGCAUCUGUCUAGGACGGCUCCGACGGUCAGGGACGAAAGCUAGGAGAACGAUCGGGAUUAGAUACCCCAGUAGCCCUAGCUGUAAACCCUGCGAACUAUGUGUUGCAUAUUUUUCGUGAAUAUGCAGUGCCGUAGCGAAAGUGUUAAGUUCGCCACCUGGGAAGUAUGGUCGCAAGACUG